GUUAUAAGACAAGUCGGGAAAGUUUUUCGCUAAGGGAUCAGUCUAUGUUCCAUCAGCUUGUUGGUGAGGUAAUGGCUCACCAAGGCUAUGACGGAUAUCUGGUUUGAGAGGAUGAUCAGACACACUGGAACCGAGACACGGUCCAGACUCCUACGGGAGGCAGCAGUGAGGAAUAUUGCACAAUGGAGGAAACUCUGAUGCAGCAACGCCGCGUGGAGGAUGACGCAUUUCGGUGUGUAAACUCCUUUUAUUAGGGAAGAUAAUGACGGUACCUAAUGAAUAAGCACCGGCUAACUCCGUGCCAGCAGCCGCGGUAAUACGGAGGGUGCAAGCGUUACUCGGAAUCACUGGGCGUAAAGGGUGCGUAGGCUGGCUUUUAAGUCAGAUGUGAAAUCCAAUGGCUCAACCAUUGAACCGCAUUUGAAACUGAAAGCCUAGAGUUCAGAAGGGGCAGAUGGAAUUAGUGGUGUAGGGGUAAAAUCCGUAGAUAUCACUAGGAAUAUCAAAAGCGAAGGCGAUCUGCUGGGAUGAUACUGACG
RNAcentral lists this ribosomal RNA (539 nucleotides) under uncultured bacterium. Its description in RNAcentral is "bacterial SSU rRNA". It matches the Rfam family "Bacterial small subunit ribosomal RNA", at positions 185 to 745 of the family's 1533-position model. The record is from RNAcentral.